Molecule: long non-coding RNA, 437 nt
Organism: Mustela lutreola (European mink)
Lineage: Eukaryota; Metazoa; Chordata; Mammalia; Carnivora; Mustelidae
Exons: 2
Source: RefSeq, a predicted model, not a curated record
UGGGGGUCACGAGCCGAGGUCCGUGCGGUUGCGAGGGAAGGUCCCGACUGCCCGAGCGAGGGGCGGGGCAGGGGUGGGUGAGCUCUGGGCACCCUUCGCUGCCUCUGAACCUUCCGGGAGUCUACUGGCACCGGCGCGCGUCUCCACUCACGUGACGUGGGAUUCGGGGACCUCGCCCCCUGGAGGCUUGUGGUGUGAGCUUCUGGAAUCCUGACCACCCCAACCAACCUAGCCAUCGUGAACUCUUAAUCAGAGGAUGUGGCAACAGCCGCACUUGGCAAUGGACCUUAUGUCAGAGGAAGUGGCUUUCAUAUUGCAGCAAAAAUUCCAGCACCUAUGUCAUCAGUCGCUGCUUGAGGGAAAGCGACUAAACUUUUAUAUCACUCCCCUCUCCCGGUAUUGUGAACCAUUAAAUAUUCAACGCAAUUAUCCUGAAA